UCUCUCCUUUCGUCCUGGAAUUUGCGCCAUCGCCAUCGACGACAGCCUUGCCUUGUGCGCAACGUGGUAACCGAGGAGACUGAAGUCAACGUGUGCGCACUUAUGACAAGGCAAAGAGGAGGGCCAAGAAGGCGGAAUGCGAGUUGGCUGUGGACACCACGGAGCUGUCGGCGAUGCUGCUGCGGGUGCAGCUGAGGCAUGAAGUACGGGUCGUGUCUGAGAGGCUGGAUGAAACUGAGCCUCUUAACAAGACCCGUACAGUGUCUCAGCCUGCCUUGUCGACGGUGCCUCCAGUUCUUCCUCGGCUACCUGCCGACAAUAUUAAAGAAUUAGAGGCAGCCGUGCGGGAUGAGGCUGUGGCUGCCACCUUGCGCAAGCACCUCCUGCAAAUAGGAGGGAAGUCACUGCGCGAGGUGGCAUCGUAUGCCAUGAAGGCUGUAAUGGUGCACCCCGUCCAAGUGCUUUACAGCCUUCAUAGCAGGAAGGGGAAGAGGGCAUUCAUCAAUUUGAAGUUAUGCCGGAUAGUCACAGGUAAAGCUUCCUCAGUCAUCCUUUUGCAUUGUUGAAGUAUUGUGUGUACAGCCGAACUCCUCUACAGCGAAAUGGCUUGCAUAACAAGAGGUUGUCCUUGCCAAAAUCGUGUCUUUCAUAUAAAUUGUCAACUUCUACAACGAAGAAAUUUGGG
Molecule: long non-coding RNA, 685 nt
Organism: Dermacentor silvarum
Lineage: Eukaryota; Metazoa; Arthropoda; Arachnida; Ixodida; Ixodidae
Exons: 4
Source: RefSeq, a predicted model, not a curated record